GGUUGUGUGGUGUAGUGGUUAGCACUUUAGACUUUGAAUCUGACAACCUGGGUUCGAAUCCCGGCACGACCU
This is a non-coding RNA of Hylaeus volcanicus, 72 nucleotides long. The record is from the annotation of a RefSeq genome assembly. Lineage: Eukaryota; Metazoa; Arthropoda; Insecta; Hymenoptera; Colletidae.